This 506-nucleotide ribosomal RNA is filed under the name uncultured bacterium. Its description in RNAcentral is "partial 16S ribosomal RNA". It matches the Rfam family "Bacterial small subunit ribosomal RNA", at positions 28 to 523 of the family's 1533-position model. The record is from RNAcentral.
GAUGAACGCUAGCUACAGGCUUAACACAUGCAAGUCGGGGGGUAACGAGAGGAAAGCUUGCUUUCCUUGUCGACGACCGGCGCACGGGUGAGUAACGCGUAUCCAACCUGCCCCCAACUAGGGAAUAACCUUGCGAAAGUAAGACUAAUACUCUAUAAUUUCCUCAGAUGACAUCUGACGAGGAAUAAAGAUUUAUAGGCUGGGGAUGGGGAUGCGUCUGAUUAGCUUGUUGGCGGGGUAACGGGCGACCAAGGCAACGAUCAGUAGGGGUUCUGAGAGGAAGGUCCCCCACAUUGGAACUGAGACACGGUCCAAACUCCUACGGGAGGCAGCAGUGAGGAAUAUUGGUCAAUGGGCGGAAGCCUGAACCAGCCAAGUAGCGUGCAGGAUGGCGGCCCUAUGGGUUGUAAACUGCUUUUAUACAGGAAUAAAGUUAGCCACGUGUGGUUAUUUGUAGGUACUGUAUGAAUAAGGACCGGCUAAUUCCGUGCCAGCCGCCGCGGUAA